AUGAGCACCACCAGCAGGAAGAGGGGAAGCAGCGGCGGUGAACAGUCAAAGAAACACAAGAGCCCAAUGGUGAAACUAAUGACAGGGCUCAUCAAUACUAUGAAUAGUGAGAACACUUCUGACAUGAUCACUAAAUAUGCAAACAAAAGGCAGGAAGCAAAGGACAAGGCAAAGGAGAAUAAAGCAAACAACACUAAGGAAUCCAUUACUCAUUGUCAAAUGUUGGCAGUUAAAUGUGGUGCAGAAGAAACAAGUGUUGAGUACUUCAUGGCAACUCAACUGUUUGCAGAUGAGGCAAGCAAAGUCAUAUUUUAG
This 315-nucleotide ribosomal RNA is filed under the name Triticum aestivum (bread wheat). RNAcentral's name for it is "partial small subunit ribosomal RNA". The record is from RNAcentral. Lineage: Eukaryota; Viridiplantae; Streptophyta; Magnoliopsida; Poales; Poaceae.